CAGCCGCGCGGUAAUACGGAGGGGGCUAGCGUUGCUCGGAAUUACUGGGCGUAAAGGGCGCGUAGGCGGACAGUUAAGUCGGGGGUGAAAGCCCGGGGCUCAACCUCGGAAUUGCCUUCGAAACUGGCUGUCUUGAGUACGGGAGAGGUGAGUGGAACUCCGAGUGUAGAGGUGAAAUUCGUAGAUAUUCGGAAGAACACCAGUGGCGAAGGCGACUCACUGGCCCGUUACUGACGCUGAGGCGCGAAAGCGUGGGGAGCAAACAGGAUUAGAUACCCCCGUAGUCCCUGUCUCUUAUACA
This 301-nucleotide ribosomal RNA is filed under the name uncultured bacterium. RNAcentral's name for it is "partial 16S ribosomal RNA". It matches the Rfam family "Bacterial small subunit ribosomal RNA", at positions 509 to 808 of the family's 1533-position model. The record is from RNAcentral.